Molecule: ribosomal RNA, 524 nt
Filed under: uncultured bacterium
Lineage: Bacteria
Description: bacterial SSU rRNA
Rfam family: Bacterial small subunit ribosomal RNA
Source: RNAcentral
AGGGUUUGAUCAUGGCUCAGAUUGAACGCUGGCGGCAGGCUUAACACAUGCAAGUCGAGCGGGGAGAUGUAGCUUGCUACAUUACCUAGCGGCGGACGGGUGAGUAAUGCUUAGGAAUCUGCCUAUUAGUGGGGGACAACAUUCCGAAAGGAAUGCUAAUACCGCAUACGCCCUACGGGGGAAAGCAGGGGAUCUUCGGACCUUGCGCUAAUAGAUGAGCCUAAGUCAGAUUAGCUAGUUGGUGGGGUAAAGGCCUACCAAGGCGACGAUCUGUAGCGGGUCUGAGAGGAUGAUCCGCCACACUGGGACUGAGACACGGCCCAGACUCCUACGGGAGGCAGCAGUGGGGAAUAUUGGACAAUGGGCGAAAGCCUGAUCCAGCCAUGCCGCGUGUGUGAAGAAGGCCUUUUGGUUGUAAAGCACUUUAAGCGAGGAGGAGGCUACUUAGAUUAAUACUCUAGGAUAGUGGACGUUACUCGCAGAAUAAGCACCGGCUAACUCUGUGCCAGCCGCCGCGGUAAUAC